CCUACGGGUGGCUGCAGUGAGGAAUAUUGGUCAAUGGGCGAGAGCCUGAACCAGCCAAGUCGCGUGAGGGAAGACGGUCCUAUGGAUUGUAAACCUCUUUUGCCGGGGAGCAAAACGCGGUACGCGUACCGCAUCGAGAGUACCCGGAGAAAAAGCAUCGGCUAACUCCGUGCCAGCAGCCGCGGUAAUACGGAGGCGGCGAGCGUUAUCCGGAUUUAUGGGGUUAAAGGGGUGCGCAGGCGGUCUGUUAAGUCAGCGGUCAAAGCCCGGGGCUCAACCCCGGACCGCCGUUGAAACUGGCAGGCUCGAGUGGGAGAGAAGUAGGCGGAAUGCGCGGUGUAGCGGUGAAAUGCAUAGAUAUCGCGCAGAACUCCGAUUGCGAAGGCAGCAUGCCGGCUCCAAACUGACGCUGAGGCACGAAAGCGUGGGUAUCGAACAGGAUUAGAUACCCUGGUAGUC
Molecule: ribosomal RNA, 459 nt
Filed under: uncultured bacterium
Lineage: Bacteria
Description: partial 16S ribosomal RNA
Rfam family: Bacterial small subunit ribosomal RNA
Source: RNAcentral